This 910-nucleotide ribosomal RNA is filed under the name uncultured bacterium. RNAcentral describes it as "bacterial SSU rRNA". It matches the Rfam family "Bacterial small subunit ribosomal RNA", at positions 33 to 917 of the family's 1533-position model. The record is from RNAcentral.
ACGCUGGCGGCGUGCCUAAUACAUGCAAGUAAAACGCACAGUUUAUACUGUAGCUUGCUACACCAUAGACUGUGAGUUGCGAACGGGUGAGUAACGCGUAGGUAACCUGCCUGGUAGCGGAGGAUAACUAUUGGAAACGAUAGCUAAUACCGCAUAAUAUUAAUUAUUGCAUGAUAAUUGAUUAAAAGGUGCAAUUGCACCACUACCAGAUGGACCUGCGUUGUAUUAGCUAGUAGGUGAGGUAACGGCUCACCUAGGCGACGAUACAUAGCCGACCUGAGAGGGUGAUCGGCCACACUGGGACUGAGACACGGCCCAGACUCCUACGGGAGGCAGCAGUAGGGAAUCUUCGGCAAUGGACGAAAGUCUGACCGAGCAACGCCGCGUGAGUGAAGAAGGUUUUCGGAUCGUAAAGCUCUGUUGUAAGAGAAGAACGGGUGUGAGAGUGGAAAGUUCACACUGUGACGGUACCUUACCAGAAAGGGACGGCUAACUACGUGCCAGCAGCCGCGGUAAUACGUAGGUCCCGAGCGUUGUCCGGAUUUAUUGGGCGUAAAGCGAGCGCAGGCGGUUAGAUAAGUCUGAAGUUAAAGGCUGUGGCUUAACCAUAGUACGCUUUGGAAACUGUUUAACUUGAGUGCAGAAGGGGAGAGUGGAAUUCCAUGUGUAGCGGUGAAAUGCGUAGAUAUAUGGAGGAACACCGGUGGCGAAAGCGGCUCUCUGGUCUGUAACUGACGCUGAGGCUCGAAAGCGUGGGGAGCGAACAGGAUUAGAUACCCUGGUAGUCCACGCCGUAAACGAUGAGUGCUAGGUGUUAGGCCCUUUCCGGGGCUUAGUGCCGCAGCUAACGCAUUAAGCACUCCGCCUGGGGAGUACGACCGCAAGGUUGAAACUCAAAGGAAUUGACGGG